GACGAACGCUGGCAGCGUGCUUAACACAUGCAAGUCGAACGGUGAAGGGACUGGUUUUGCUGGUCCUGGAUGAGUGGCGAACGGGUGAGUAACACGUGAGUAACCUGCCCCCUUCUUCUGGAUAACCGCAUGAAAGUGUGGCUAAUACGGGAUAUUCUGGGUCUGUCGCAUGGUGGGCCUGGGAAAGAUUGCGCCUUUUUUGGUGUUUUUGGUGGGGGAUGGGCUCGCGGCCUAUCAGCUUGUUGGUGGGGUGAUGGCCUACCAAGGCGGUGACGGGUAGCCGGCCUGAGAGGGUGGACGGUCACACUGGGACUGAGACACGGCCCAGACUCCUACGGGAGGCAGCAGUGGGGAAUAUUGCACAAUGGGCGCAAGCCUGAUGCAGCGACGCCGCGUGAGGGAUGGAGGCCUUCGGGUUGUGAACCUCUUUCGCCAGUGAAGCAGGCCUGCCUCUUUUUGUGGGUGGGUUGACGGUAGCUGGAUAAGAAGCGCCGGCUAACUACGUG
This 506-nucleotide ribosomal RNA is filed under the name uncultured bacterium. RNAcentral's name for it is "partial 16S ribosomal RNA". It matches the Rfam family "Bacterial small subunit ribosomal RNA", at positions 28 to 507 of the family's 1533-position model. The record is from RNAcentral.